CUGUCGUGUUAAGCCAAAAUAAUUUAACGCAUUGUAGAACUUUCAAUAGAUUUGAGCUUCUUUUGGAUUCCAUUGAAAAAAGUGGAAUACAAAAAAACUUAAAGCUCUCGGAAGCACUUUAAAAGCAAAUACGAUGCUGUGUUUUGGUUUAACACGGC
Molecule: long non-coding RNA, 158 nt
Organism: Bradysia coprophila
Lineage: Eukaryota; Metazoa; Arthropoda; Insecta; Diptera; Sciaridae
Source: RefSeq, a predicted model, not a curated record